Long non-coding RNA from Periophthalmus magnuspinnatus, 3643 nucleotides. RefSeq lists it as uncharacterized. NCBI's taxonomy places the organism in Eukaryota, Metazoa, Chordata, Actinopteri, Gobiiformes, Gobiidae. The record is from RefSeq and is a predicted model, not a curated record. The transcript has 4 exons.
CAGUGAUUGGUGCGUUAGUGCCACCUGCCGCUCCGCUCGUGGAUGCAGGCUCUGUGCUUCUCACAUGUUUUCUGGUGGCUCAUUUUGGGGUUGCCCCGAGCUUCCCAGAAGUUGACAUUAUAUAACUGAAAAAAGUUAUAUAACGUUACAUUUUAUAGCCCCCUGUAGGGAAAUGUGUCCACUGCAUUUGACUCAUCCUGCUGGGGCAACCUGUCAGGAGCAGUAGGACCCAUCUCCAGAUCUUGAGCUACUCUUGGUCAGGACUACCUUAGCUUUAGGAUUUGAUCUGUUGUUCAUGUUUUGGGUUGAUGGGGGAAACCGGAGUGCCUGGAGGAAACCCAUCCAGACACGGAGAGAACAUGCAAACUCCACAAACCCAGGCAACCCAGGAGUUGAAUCUGGAACCUGUGACAGUCUAUGUAACUUUAACUGGACUUGUUUACCUGGGAAGUGUUCAGAAAAGCUGAAGAAAAGUGACCACACAGCAGAAAUGAGGGUUAUCUUAUCUGUUUUUGAGGCCAAGGUCCAACGUUGUCUACAGAAGGGACCGGCGUGCUCACAUUCUAGGCUUUUGAGGAAGGGGCUCUGGAGCCAUCACUGCUGCACCAACUAUAGACUGCAGCUCAAACUAACUCCAACUGUACAUCUCAUCACAGAGUGCAAUGUUUAAGUGCAUUUGACAAGCUUUCAUGCUUUUUCUAAUUAUGAAUUGGUUUGGUUUCUUUACAAUAGUUUUACACCAGUCAAGUGGCAGUUUGUGAAAAAGUUUUAGAAAAAAGUUACAAAAGCUACAAAAGUACAGGAAGUAGUACUGAGUUCAAAAGCAAAAUCCCUCAGAAAACUCCAUCCAACAUACGGACACAGUCUACUCACAAGGAAGGUAUUUUUCUGACAGUUCAGACAAAAUAGAGGUGUUUUCAUUAACACUUAACUACUGUACAUUUUGAGUUUUGACCCUUGUUUACAUUACGAUUGGUAACUGCUACAAUGGAAUUACCUCUAACUCUUAUUUACUGCCUGAGUGUCCCACUCAAAGCCAUUUAUAAACUACAACAAAAUGAAAAACAAAAAGUAAUGGACUUUUAGUAAAAUCUUAAAUAUAGCGAUGUUAUAGUUUUAGUAAAAUGAGUAUCUGUUACAGUGGCUUUAUUCACCCCCCUGGAACUUUUUCACAUAUUGUCAAGUCACAACCACAGAUAAAAAUAAAUUUUCUUAGCAUUUUAUGUGAAUGACCAACACAAAAUGGCACACAAGUGUGAAGUGGAAGGAAAUAUUUUACCAGAUUUCCAUUUUUUUUUAAAUAAAAAAACUUAAAGUGCAGCAUGCAAAAGUAUUCAGCCCCCUUUUUCUUGAAUGUAACCAAUUGCUUUUAGAAGUUGCCUGAUGAUUUUGGAAAGAUUGAAUGUUGACCUAAUGACUAAAAAGAGUCCACCUGUGUAUAAUCUUGUCUCAGUAUAAAUGCAGCUGUGCAGUGAAGGCCACAGGAGUUUAUUAAGAGAGUGUUGGGGAGCAAACCACAAAAUAAAGUCAAAUGAGCAAACCGAACAGGUCAGAGAAAAAGUUGUGGUUAAGUUUAAAGCGGAGCUUGGAUCUGAAAAGAUUUCCCAAUCGUUGAACAUCUCAAGGAGCACUGUUCAAUCCAUCAUCCAGAAAUGGAAAGAGUAUGGCACAACUGCAGACCUACCCAGACCUGGCCAUCCACCAAAACUUACAGAACAAACAAGAAUAGCACUCAACAGAGAUGCAGCCUGGAGGCCCAUGGUGACUCUGGAAGAGCUGCAGAGAUCCACAGCUCAGGUGGGGAAAUCUGUUCACAGGACAACUAUUAGUCGUGCACUACACAAAUCUGAUCUUUAUGGAAGAGUGGCAAGAAGAAAACUAUUGUUGAAAACUAUCCAUAAGAAGUCUCAUUUACAGUUCACUAGAAGUCAUUUGGAGCAGUGGUCCCCAACCACCGGGCCACAAACCGGUACCGGUCCACGGAUCAAUUGGUACCGGGCCACCAGCCCAAGAAAUACUUGGUGCAUCAUACUUGGUGGCUAACCGUGUAUUUUUUUAAAUAAUUUAGUUAGGAGGCAGAGAGGAUGUUAAAACCACUUAACGUUCCAGCCGUGGCCUUUACGUUACAACUUUACAGCAAUGUCAGUGUAUUUCUGCGUCACCCACACAAACAAUCUACACAUCAAAUGAAAGCUACGGCAUUCAUCUUUCUGAAUAUGUAAACCAUUUACACCUCUAAUCACCACAGUGCUGACAGGAAAGCCGUUUUUACAGAGAAGUCAGAAAUGUGGAUUUGGACUUCACUUACCAUUGAGCGCUCUGGUUCUGUCAAACAUCAACAUAUUCACACAAAGUUGGUCUCAUUCGUUCCGUAAAGGUCCAGAGAAUAUAAUCCAGUCAAGAAAUUAUGUCCACAAAGGAAUUUAGAGCCUCCAUGUCCAAUCUGCUGCAGGAAAGUGAAAUCUGUUCCGUCACUUCUCUGCAUUUCUUUUGUCAGUUUCAGGCAUAAUAAACUUCUGACAGCGCCAACUUUGUUCCUCAGCGCAAAACGAACUUGUUAGCUUGCAAUUGACACCAAAGUUGGCCAAUAAGGUGGGGGCUGUGGGUUACUGGAGCCGCGGACAGUGAAUGAGAGCUACAGAUGACUGAAAGAGUACGCCCCACUCUCCCCCUUGUAGAAUCAAGCUGUUACAUUACACACGUUUAAUGAUGUUUUCCCCUUAAAGCCCAUGGACAGUGGAACACGCCGAUGCGUGACAUACAGUGGUUUACUGUAAACAGACGGACUAUGCUGCGCGCGUAAAGAGACUGGAUAUAAAGAUCCGUGCGUAAAAUUACGCGCGCGUAUUGCGUAAUUUUACGCAGCAGUUUUGCGUUUUAAACGUGACGAAACGGACAAAACAAAGGAAGUACGCGACCGAGGACACUGUGGAUGUUUGUGCAAGUUAAACUAGAGGCAUCUCGGACCCGGAGCGGUUUGUGGAACCGAGUGACGAUCUCAUGAUGGACUCAGGAGCAGAGGACCUUAUGAUUUGAUGGACUGAUGCUGUUCCUGAUCGGAGCCUAUUCCCCACCCCACACCUGGUCAGUUCUCAGGAGGCUUCAGUGGACACCUCUGCACGGAGGCUGUGUGUGUUAAAAUUGCUGAUGAUUCUCCUCGGCGACCCCGCUGAACAAAUGAUAAAGGAACAGGAUCAGAAAAUGUCAAUGGAUGGAAAAAAAGAUGCUAAUGAUGGUGACCAGGUGACCAUGGCGGUCAUUACAACACCUUCAGACAUCAAUAUAACUCUGGAAGGUGAAACAGUCAUGACGAACCUCCAGUCAGCGAUUAAAGGGUUCGUCAUGUCGUUUGGACUCAUCUAUGCCCUAAAUAUGAGGUAUCUUAAAAAGUGCGAUCGCACAUGUGAAUUUGUUCAAAAAGUGCUUCUGGGACUCAAAUCAAAAAGAAUUAGUACACCAACUCAGCGUCUUGCUGCAUAGCAAGUAGCUUAUUCAUUUGCUUUCUACAAUUUUACAGCUGUUUGUUUGAAGUUACACAAAAUGUAACUGUAAAUUUGUUGGCUCAAAGUUGCACAAUAUGCAAAUAUUAUUUGUUAUGUUUUUUGUUGCGGCUCGCUGUGUUAAUUUUGUACAUGCAAGUGUU